RNAcentral lists this ribosomal RNA (704 nucleotides) under Acinetobacter sp. IPB4. RNAcentral's name for it is "bacterial SSU rRNA". It matches the Rfam family "Bacterial small subunit ribosomal RNA", at positions 34 to 730 of the family's 1533-position model. The record is from RNAcentral. Lineage: Bacteria; Pseudomonadati; Pseudomonadota; Gammaproteobacteria; Moraxellales; Moraxellaceae.
CCGUGGCGGCAGGCUUACACAUGCAGUCUGAGCGGAGUGAUGGUGCUUGCACUAUCACUUAGCGGCGGACGGGUGAGUAAUGCUUAGGAAUCUGCCUAUUAGUGGGGGACAACAUCUCGAAAGGGAUGCUAAUACCGCAUACGUCCUACGGGAGAAAGCAGGGGAUCACUUGUGACCUUGCGCUAAUAGAUGAGCCUAAGUCGGAUUAGCUAGUUGGUGGGGUAAAGGCCUACCAAGGCGACGAUCUGUAGCGGGUCUGAGAGGAUGAUCCGCCACACUGGGACUGAGACACGGCCCAGACUCCUACGGGAGGCAGCAGUGGGGAAUAUUGGACAAUGGGGGGAACCCUGAUCCAGCCAUGCCGCGUGUGUGAAGAAGGCCUUAUGGUUGUAAAGCACUUUAAGCGAGGAGGAGGCUUACCUAGUUAAUACCUGGGAUAAGUGGACGUUACUCGCAGAAUAAGCACCGGCUAACUCUGUGCCAGCAGCCGCGGUAAUACAGAGGGUGCAAGCGUUAAUCGGAUUUACUGGGCGUAAAGCGCGCGUAGGCGGCCAAUUAAGUCAAAUGUGAAAUCCCCGAGCUUAACUUGGGAAUUGCAUUCGAUACUGGUUGGCUAGAGUGUGGGAGAGGAUGGUAGAAUUCCAGGUGUAGCGGUUGAAAUGCGUAGAGAUCUGGAGGAAUACCGAUGGCGAAGGCAGGCAUCC